GAUGAACGCUGGCGGCAUGCCUAACACAUGCAAGUCGAACGGCAAGACGUUUAGCUCGUGCCCUUACGGUUAGCGACGGGCGGGCGGGUGACGCAUGGAUCGGAAUCUAAUUUGUCGUGGGUGACUACGUAGGGCAACUUCCACUACCACCUCAUACAAUCUACGGGUGGAAGCAGUAGAUCUUGAUACCUUGGUUGUUUCUUUUAGCCGGUGUCGGAUUAGCUAGUUGGCGGGGUAACGUCACGCCAAGGCGACGCACCGUAGCUGAUCCGAGAGGAUGAUCGGCCACACUGGAACUGAGACACGGUCCAGACUCCUACGGGAGGCAGCAGUAGGGAAUAUUGGGAAAUGGGCGAAAGCCUGAUCCAGCAAUGCCGCGUGGGUGAAGAAGGCAUUCGGGUUGUAAAGCCCUUUUAUUAGGAAAGAAAAACUGCGGGUGAAGAAGCAGAUGUAAUGACGGUACCUAAAGAAUAAGCACCGGCUAACUACGUG
RNAcentral lists this ribosomal RNA (492 nucleotides) under uncultured bacterium. Its description in RNAcentral is "partial 16S ribosomal RNA". It matches the Rfam family "Bacterial small subunit ribosomal RNA", at positions 28 to 507 of the family's 1533-position model. The record is from RNAcentral.